UACGGAGGGUGCAAGCGUUAUCCGGAUUUACUGGGUUUAAAGGGUGUGUAGGCGGGCUUUUAAGUCAGUGGUGAAAUCUCCGGGCUCAACCCGGAAACUGCCAUUGAUACUAUUAGUCUUGAAUUUUGUUGAGGUAGGCGGAAUAAGUCAUGUAGCGGUGAAAUGCUUAGAUAUGACUUAGAACACCAAUUGCGAAGGCAGCUUGCUAAACAAACAUUGACGCUGAGGCACGAAAGCGUGGGGAUCAAACAGG
This 253-nucleotide ribosomal RNA is filed under the name Rurimicrobium sp. Its description in RNAcentral is "partial 16S ribosomal RNA". It matches the Rfam family "Bacterial small subunit ribosomal RNA", at positions 524 to 776 of the family's 1533-position model. The record is from RNAcentral. Lineage: Bacteria; Pseudomonadati; Bacteroidota; Chitinophagia; Chitinophagales; Chitinophagaceae. RNAcentral also lists the same sequence under 1 other name.